GGGCCCGUAGUUUAAUCUGGAUAGAGCAAUUGGCUUCGGACCAAUAAAUGGGGGUUCGAACAUCAGAACUAAGGUUUUGAUACCUUCUGAUUAGAAAGUCCCUCCGGGCUCG
RNAcentral lists this transfer RNA (112 nucleotides) under Candidatus Woesearchaeota archaeon. RNAcentral's name for it is "tRNA-Arg". It matches the Rfam family "tRNA". Rfam says of the family: Transfer RNA (tRNA) molecules are approximately 80 nucleotides in length. Their secondary structure includes four short double-helical elements and three loops (D, anti-codon, and T loops). Lineage: Archaea; Nanobdellati; Candidatus Woesearchaeota. The record is from RNAcentral.